GGGCCCGCACAAGCGGUGGAGCAUGUGGUUUAAUUCGAUGAUACGCGAGGAACCUUACCAGGGCUUAAAUGUAAGUUGCAUUAGUUAGAGAUAGCUAUUUCUUCGGACCACUUACAAGGUGCUGCAUGGUUGUCGUCAGCUCGUGUCGUGAGAUGUUGGGUUAAGUCCCGCAACGAGCGCAACCCACGUCUUUAGUUGCCAGCAUUUAGUUGGGCACUCUAGAGAGACUGCCGGUGAUAAACCGGAGGAAGGUGUGGAUGACGUCAAGUCAUCAUGCCCCUUACAUCCUGGGCUACACACGUACUACAAUGCUACGGACAAAGGGCAGCAAGUUCGCGAGGACAAGCAAAUCCCAUAAACCGUGGCUCAGUUCAGAUCGUAGGCUGCAACUCGCCUACGUGAAGGCGGAAAUCGCUAGUAAUCG
Molecule: ribosomal RNA, 424 nt
Filed under: uncultured bacterium
Lineage: Bacteria
Description: bacterial SSU rRNA
Rfam family: Bacterial small subunit ribosomal RNA
Source: RNAcentral